ACUCCUACGGGAGGCAGCAGUGGGGAAUAUUGCGCAAUGGGCGAAAGCCUGACGCAGCAAUGCCGCGUGAGUGAGGAAGGCCUUCGGGUUGUAAAGCUCUGUCAUAUGGAAAGAAUGGUCAUUGUUCUAACAGGGCAGUGAUUUGACGGUACCAUAAAAGGAAGCACCGGCUAACUUCGUGCCAGCAGCCGCGGUAAUACGAAGGGUGCAAGCGUUGUUCGGAUUUAUUGGGCGUAAAGCGCGCGCAGGCGGACUAUUAAGCCAGAUGUGAAAUCUCGGGGCUCAACCCCGAACCUGCAG
RNAcentral lists this ribosomal RNA (300 nucleotides) under uncultured bacterium. RNAcentral's name for it is "bacterial SSU rRNA". It matches the Rfam family "Bacterial small subunit ribosomal RNA", at positions 335 to 626 of the family's 1533-position model. The record is from RNAcentral.